GUAGGUGGCAAGCGCUGUCCGGAAUUAUUGGGCGUAAAGCGCGCGUAGGCGGUUCUUUAAGUCUGAUGUGAAAGCCCACGGCUCAACCGUGGAGGGUCAUUGGAAACUGGAGAACUUGAGUACAGAAGAGGAAAGCGGAAUUCCACGUGUAGCGGUGAAAUGCGUAGAGAUGUGGAGGAACACCAGUGGCGAAGGCGGCUUUCUGGUCUGUAACUGACGCUGAGGCGCGAAAGCGUGGGGAGCAAACAGGAUUAGAUACCCUGGUAGUCCACGCCGUAAACGAUGAGUGCUAAGUGUUAGGGGGUUUCCGCCCCCCUUAGUGCUGCAGCUAACGCAUUAAGCACUCCGCCUGGGAGUACGGCCGCAAGGCUG
RNAcentral lists this ribosomal RNA (372 nucleotides) under uncultured organism. RNAcentral describes it as "partial 16S ribosomal RNA". It matches the Rfam family "Bacterial small subunit ribosomal RNA", at positions 527 to 896 of the family's 1533-position model. The record is from RNAcentral.